AUACGGAGGAUGCGAGCGUUAUCCGGAUUUAUUAGGUUUAAAGGGUGUGUAGGCGGUAUUUUAAGUCAGUGGUGAAAUCUCGGAGCUUAACUUCGAAACUGCCAUUGAUACUGGAAUACUUGAGUAUAGUUGAGGUAGGCGGAAUAUGUAAUGUAGCGGUGAAAUGCAUAGAUAUUACAUAGAACACCGAUUGCGAAGGCAGCUUACUAAACUAUUACUGACGCUGAUGCACGAAAGCGUGGGGAGCGAACAGGAUUAGAUACCCGGGUAGUCC
RNAcentral lists this ribosomal RNA (274 nucleotides) under uncultured bacterium. Its description in RNAcentral is "partial 16S ribosomal RNA". It matches the Rfam family "Bacterial small subunit ribosomal RNA", at positions 523 to 796 of the family's 1533-position model. The record is from RNAcentral.